AUGGCUAAGGUGGGGCACGUAGCCUACAACCUGCUACUGCCGGACAACACCAACAUCCACCCGGUCUUCCACGUCAGCCAGUUGAAGAAACAUGUAGGACCCAAAGAUGUCCCUUGUGCUCAUUUACCACUUGUGCAAACAGAUGGCCUGAUUCAGACAGAUCCGGUGAUGGUCCUAGAAACCGAUGAAGCUUCUUGGGAAGAUGCGGCCUUCAUGAAGAAAACCUUUCCUGCAUUCUUCAAGGCCACCAUUGAUCGCUGGUUCAACCUCUAA
This 273-nucleotide ribosomal RNA is filed under the name Triticum aestivum (bread wheat). RNAcentral's name for it is "partial small subunit ribosomal RNA". Lineage: Eukaryota; Viridiplantae; Streptophyta; Magnoliopsida; Poales; Poaceae. The record is from RNAcentral.